CGGGUGAGUAACGCGUGGGUAACCUGCCCUGUACAGGGGGAUAACAGUCAGAAAUGACUGCUAAUACCGCAUAAGACCACAGCACCGCAUGGUGCAGGGGUAAAAACUCCGGUGGUACAGGAUGGACCCGCGUCUGAUUAGCUGGUUGGUGAGGUAACGGCUCACCAAGGCGACGAUCAGUAGCCGGCUUGAGAGAGUGAACGGCCACAUUGGGACUGAGACACGGCCCAAACUCCUACGGGAGGCAGCAGUGGGGAAUAUUGCACAAUGGGGGAAACCCUGAUGCAGCGACGCCGCGUGAGUGAAGAAGUAUCUCGGUAUGUAAAGCUCUAUCAGCAGGGAAGAAAAUGACGGUACCUGACUAAGAAGCCCCGGCUAACUACGUGCCAGCAGCCGCGGUAAUACGUAGGGGGCAAGCGUUAUCCGGAAUUACUGGGUGUAAAGGGCGCGUAGGUGGUAUGGCAAGUCAGAAGUGAAAACCCAGGGCUUAACUCUGGGACUGCUUUUGAAACUGUCAGACUGGAGUGCAGGAGAGGUAAGCGGAAUUCCUAGUGUAGCGGUGAAAUGCGUAGAUAUUAGGAG
Molecule: ribosomal RNA, 582 nt
Filed under: uncultured Lachnospiraceae bacterium
Lineage: Bacteria; Bacillati; Bacillota; Clostridia; Lachnospirales; Lachnospiraceae
Description: bacterial SSU rRNA
Rfam family: Bacterial small subunit ribosomal RNA
Source: RNAcentral